UCAUUGUCGAUGCCUCGCAAACAAGCGCGACCGGCGAACGAGUUUUCCACGUACCCGGGCAUUCGGGGUUGCCGGAUGCCCACGGCGCCGGGGACUGCCCCCUCGGGCGGGCCUUCCCGGCGUCGCAACAAAACCCCGGCGCCGAACGCGCCAAGGAACACGAAACACGUAGAGCGCGCGCCCGUCCGGGUCGCGUCGCCACGCGCGAGUCCAAAAUGACUCUCGGCAACGGAUAUCUCGGCUCUUGCAUCGAUGAAGAACGUAGCGAAAUGCGAUACUUGGUGUGAAUUGCAGAAUCCCGUGAACCAUCGAGUCUUUGAACGCAAGUUGCGCCCGAAGCCAUUAGGCCGAGGGCACGCCUGCCUGGGUGUCACUAACCGUAUCCCCGAAACCCCGACGCGCUCGCCGGGAAGGGGCGGGGCAAGAGCUGGCCUCCCGGGAGCAACGAUUCCCGGUUGGCUGAAAGUCGGGUUUGCGGCCGGGGUCCGCGCGACGCACGGUGGUUGAGCGCAUCUCGAGGCCAAGUCGUGCGCGUCCCUUGCCGUAUUCGAACCCCCCGUGACCCGUGAGCGCCACCGGCUGCUCGUGACGCGACCUCAGGUCAGGC
This 607-nucleotide ribosomal RNA is filed under the name Poiretia bahiana. RNAcentral's name for it is "eukaryotic LSU rRNA". The stretch from base 218 to 373 matches the Rfam family "5.8S ribosomal RNA". Lineage: Eukaryota; Viridiplantae; Streptophyta; Magnoliopsida; Fabales; Fabaceae. The record is from RNAcentral.